RNAcentral lists this non-coding RNA (517 nucleotides) under Pan troglodytes (chimpanzee). Lineage: Eukaryota; Metazoa; Chordata; Mammalia; Primates; Hominidae. The record is from RNAcentral.
GGGGCUCCUAGAAUCCACUCUCCCCAAAGGCGAGUUUCCCAGAGGAAAUGACAUUUGAAGAGAGACUAAAGGAUGAGAAAGAGACAGCCUUCCUGGAAGAGGAAACAGCAAAUGCAAAAACUCUGAGUUAGGAAAGAACUUGAUGCACUUGAGAAACAAAAAGAAGGCCGGCAAGACUGAAAUCCACAUAAGUCAGACCCGGGCACAGCAAACUGGACGUCCUCAGUAUAUAUGUGGCAACUGAAACCAGGCAUUUAGGACAUGAUCUCAUUCUGUUGCCCAGGGUGAGUGCAGUGGCACCUUCAUGGCUCAUUGCAGUCUCGAUCUCCCAGGCUCAAGCGAUCCUCCCACCUCAGCCUCCCAAAGUGCUGGGAUUGCAGGCGUGAGCCACCUUGCCCAGCCCAUUCUGCAAUCUUCGGAAGGAAGUCACUAUAUGCAGCCUAUGCUUGAGGAGUGGGGGGUUGAAUUCCACAUCCUUGAGGGUAGAAUACCUAAAUAAAUUAUUUGGAAUUCUUCU